Long non-coding RNA from Gopherus flavomarginatus (Mexican gopher tortoise), 341 nucleotides. RefSeq lists it as uncharacterized. The transcript has 3 exons. Lineage: Eukaryota; Metazoa; Chordata; Testudines; Testudinidae. The record is from RefSeq and is a predicted model, not a curated record.
CACGUGCUGCCAGCAGCGCUGGAGCUGCCCGAGCCGCUGUUCUCAGCUGCAGCCAGGAUCUGCCCCCGGCCCCGCUGGGAUCCAGGGGCUGGUGACCUUCAAGGAGAUGGCUAUGUAUUUCACCAGGGAAGAGUGGGCUCUGCUGGACCCCACUCAGAGAGCCCUCUACUGGGAUGUCAUGCAGGAGAACUAUGAGACUGUGACCUCGCUGGGUAAGGGUUCCUGUCCCUUCUGUUCUUGGAAGGGGAAAUGAAGAGUGAAGGUUCAUGCCACCCCCACAAUGCCAUCUGUACCCUGUCCUGUUUCAGCAUCACCCCAAUAGGCCAGUAACAUACAUACUA